GGCUACAGCCGUACCACCCUGAACGAGCCCCAUCUCAUCUGAUCUCAGAAGCUAAGCAGGGUCGGGCCUGGUUAGUACUUGGAUAGGAGAAACCAAAGACAAGCGUCUCAAGAGAAGCAAGCCUGCCAGCAU
Molecule: ribosomal RNA, 132 nt
Filed under: Octodon degus (degu)
Lineage: Eukaryota; Metazoa; Chordata; Mammalia; Rodentia; Octodontidae
Source: RNAcentral